Molecule: long non-coding RNA, 3258 nt
Filed under: Ananas comosus (pineapple)
Lineage: Eukaryota; Viridiplantae; Streptophyta; Magnoliopsida; Poales; Bromeliaceae
Description: long non-coding RNA (ACOM_LNC021077)
Source: RNAcentral
AGAGAGAGAGAGAGAGAUUUUGAGUACCAUGUAUAGAGAGACCACCUAUGUACUUGUUUAGCUUUUGUAUUUGGGAUUCCUAUUGUAUUUACUUUAUGGUUUAUUUAGUGAUUUUAGCUCUCUACUCUUCACACUGCUUUAGAUACUAGAUGUUGUACAAUGCUCUGAUAUCUCUAGAUCUCCUUUAUUUGCUUUAUUUAUCGUUUUGUUUUAGACGCCUUGUAUGUUUUAGAUAUAUGGCGGGUAGGUGGGCUUCCGCUGGGUCCCGGGGCGUGACACAUCCCUCCUGCGGCGUCGAGUUCUCCUACGCCCGAUGUUGCGGCUGAGGAAGUGGAGCGAGAGCGUGGUUACACGGCCCUCACCAGGUUUACGAAGUUCCACCCGCCCACGUUUGAUGGAGAAAUGAUUGAUCCUUGGAUAGUGGAGACUUGGUUAGCCUCGAUGGAGACCCUGUUCGAGGACAUCCACACCCAGGAGCUGGAUAAAGUGAAUUUGGCGGGGCAUUGCUUCGAUAAGCAGGCCAGGGUGUGGUGAAAGAGAGUGAAGCAGGACCGUUCUCCGGAUCUUCCCCCGAUUAAUUGGGAAGAGUUCCGAAGGUUGAUGUUUGCGGAGUACUUCCCCGACAGUGAUAAAAGGAAGAUGAGGGAGGACUUCAGAAAGCUCAAGCAGGGUAAUCGCACGGUUCGGGAGUAUGAGCGGGAGUUCACCCAUCUCCUGAACUGCGUUCCGGACGUGGCGAGGACGGAGCAAAAUCGGGCGGAUUGCUUCGUGAGGGGACUCCGGCCCGGGGUGUUCCGACUAGUUCAUUGUAACACACUGGACCUGUGCAAAUUGCGAGGUUCGAGUUAUUGGAUGUGUUCUGAGCUUUUUCACGCUUUGUGGAGGGUCGUAGAAGGUGUUCCGACCUAAAAAGUUCGAAUCCUGAAAUUUCAGCUAAGUCCUGAGAGUUUUACUCUCGGGGACCGGUCCCUGCGGGGAGAGACCGGUCCCCCUGGUGAGGCAACCGGUCCCCGGUGGAUGAGACCGGUCCCCGAGCGCAUUUCGCAGGGAGAGACCGGUCCUAUGCGGGGAGAGACUGGUUCCCGAGAGCAGGUUUUGCAGAAUGGACUUGAGAGACCGGUCCCAAGCAGGGAGAGACCGGUCCCUCUGGACGAAAUCUGCCCAGUCCGGGCUUUGCACAGGUUGCAAAGUUGAGGGACUUUUUUGGAUUUUGUUACACUAGAGGGCCUAUAUGGCCAUUUCACUUCCCUUUCUCCCUCAUGUCACCCUCCCACUUGCUUUUAGAGAGAGAAGGAGAAGAAGGAGAAGAAGGAAGGAGAAGGAGAGCUUGUUGAGGACUUGGAGCUUCACUCUCACCCUCUCUUCUUCCUUUUGGUGGGUUGGAGCUUGCUUUUGGAGCUUAGUGGUGGAUCAGUCUUCAACCCUAAAAAAUUUUGAGCUUGGUUUGGAGCUUCCUAGAGGUUAGUUGCUUGUUUCUCCCUUCUAGACAUAGUUUUGGUGAAUUUUGGGAGAUGAAACCCUAGAAUGAGAAACCUAGGGUUUAUUUGGGGCUUUUUGAUUAGAGGCUUUUUGAGCUAAUCUAAUUGGAUUAGAACCUUAGUUUAGGUUGCUUUGAAAGAGAUCUAGUUUCCAUUUGAGCUUUGGAAAGAGAUUUCUACACUAUAAGUGAGAUUUUGGUCUUUUUGCUUAGUAGGUUAUUGAUUGAGCCUUGUAUUGUUCGUAAGGUCCGUUUGACUCUUGUUCCUACAUCUUUAGAGUGCUAGGAGACUAGUGGGCAUCUUCGUCGGAGCUUACGAAGAGUUGCAAGAGUUGUGGUGGGUUUGACUUCAUGAAGUCGGGGCGAAAUGGCCCCUAUGUAUUCUAUACUUGUUGUAACGUCAAUUUGAUUGUAUAUUCAUGUUAAAUAGGAUUUAUGUGAAUUUUAGAACACUUAAAAUGCAUGCCUUAUGUAUGAUGAAAUUUUCACUCUAUAUAGUAGGGUAUUCUGGGUUUUUAGCAUGCAUGUGAGAAGUGGUUCUUUUUCGAGUUGGGUACUUGUCUCGUACGAUGAAAAUGAUUAGAAUUAUGCAUUCAUGAACAUAAUUAUUAUGCUUGGACAUAGAGACCAAAAGUGUCAUAAAGGGGCACUUGAAUUAGCAAACUAUGCAACUGUUAUCUGGGACUUAGUGAUAGGCCAUUGACAUCUUUUAUAUUCCAUGUUAGAGACAUGAUGACAUAGAGAUAGGCCUAUAAGAGAUGUGACGUAUUCCAUGUUGUUAGACAUGACGACUUGGUACUUGAGACAGAUCAUUGCUUGCUUGCCAUUGUGCUCAUUCGCACAUGCUUGUGAGGGUCGCUCCCUACAAACCGGCACUCCGGAGAUGGCCAUCCCGAUACAUGUUCGCCGUGCAGGAUUGGGUGCCGAAGUGGAUUGCCGUGGGCUAGGCUCAUCCCUAGGGUGGGGAUGUUGACUAUCAUGGGGCCAUUAGGCUCGGCAACGGCCAGACAGCCUACGGGUGGGUCUCAGGGCCAUAGACAGCCUUCGGGUGGGUCUCUUCAGAUUUGACUUUGAGCAUUUAUUAUGCUAUGUGGACAUUGACUAGAAUAGUAAACAAUGACAUCUUUACUAUUUAGCACGGGGACAUCAUACUAGUGAUACUUUGGUACAUUCAUACUAGUGUAGCCUUUUGUUACUUGAGCAAAAUCAUGCUAAGUAGAGAUAUCUUGUGGUAGCAAGCAUUCUUGUUUAUUUACUCAUUGUACUUAUCGUUUUUGUCUAUACUUGUUUACUGACCCCUUUUUGUAGCUUUUGGGCCUAGUGGCGCAUUUCACUGAAGUCAGUAAUUGCCCACUGGGAACUAUUAUUUAAUAGUUCUCACGCCUCUGUUUUUAUGUUUCCUUUUCAGAGCCUUCAGCACCGGCGGAGGUACGGGAUCGCGGCAAGGGUGUCGCCUAGCUAGAUAGAGAGGAGCUACUUUUGAGCUUAGGUGGUUACUCUUUCUUUUGUUGUAUUAGAGAAAGUGAGAUUUUGAGUACCAUGUAUAGAGAGACCACUUUUGUACUUGUUUAGCUUUUGUAUUGGGAUUCCUAUUGUAUUUACUUUAUGGUUUAUUUAGUGAUUUUAGCUCUCUACUCUUCACACUGCUUUAGAUGCUAGAUGUUGUAUAAUGCUCUGAUAUCUUUACAUUUCCUUUAUUUGCUAUAUUUUAUCGUUUUGUUUUAGACGCCUUGUAUGUUUUAGACAUAUGGCGGGUCUGGGCACGUGCCGAGCGGGCUUCC